This 258-nucleotide ribosomal RNA is filed under the name uncultured Leptotrichia sp. RNAcentral describes it as "partial 16S ribosomal RNA". It matches the Rfam family "Bacterial small subunit ribosomal RNA", at positions 97 to 355 of the family's 1533-position model. The record is from RNAcentral. Lineage: Bacteria; Fusobacteriati; Fusobacteriota; Fusobacteriia; Fusobacteriales; Leptotrichiaceae.
GGCGGACGGGUGAGUAACGCGUAAAGAACUUGCCCUUUAGACUGGGAUAACAGAGGGAAACUUCUGAUAAUACUGGAUAAGUUAGUAUAUCGCAUGAUAUGCAAAUGAAAGCUACGGCACUAAAGGAGAGCUUUGCGUCCUAUUAGCUAGUUGGUAAGGUAAGAGCUUACCAAGGCGAUGAUAGGUAGCCGGCCUGAGAGGGUGGACGGCCACAAGGGGACUGAGAUACGGCCCUUACUCCUACGGGAGGCAGCAGCC